CAAUAAAAAUAUUUAGGUCGUUUGAAAGCGGGUGCAUAUUUGCGUUACAUAUACGAAUUCCCAUUUAAUUGUGUGUAUGUUGCUGAUUCUCCUAUAAGGGUUUGGAUUGUUAGGUCGUCAAUUAUUAAGAAUGUGAUUUUGGAAGCAAGACAACGACCGGGAGGAGCGAAAAUUUGAUGGUAGGUUUGUUUUUACCGAUGGAUUAACUAUCUCUAAGGUGAAGAAUCGCAUUAAUAUAGUGCGAAGAUCCUCCCAGCUAUAUUAUAGUGCACAGUGGGAAAUGAUAUAUAUAAAAUAUCAAACUAGGUUACUUUCAUUAUUAGCUUGUUCAAUUUAUGUCAAGGUUAUAUAUUGAUUUGCCUGAUACAACUUGAUUUGGUCUCAAGUUUUAUUGCCAAGACUGCAAUGACGGUCUUCAAACAAUGGGAAUUGUAAUGUAUGGACAAGUGCAGGCGUCGGUUAAACAGCUCCAUUGUUGUCCACAUGACAAAGCAUGGAUGUUACAUUCGAUAUCCCUACAUAAAAGCUAAAC
Molecule: long non-coding RNA, 532 nt
Filed under: Mytilus galloprovincialis (Mediterranean mussel)
Lineage: Eukaryota; Metazoa; Mollusca; Bivalvia; Mytilida; Mytilidae
Source: RNAcentral